AAGAGGGUGAGGUGUGGGGGUACCGUCCUGUAGGCAGGGCUGUGUGUGCCCCCCGUGUGUGCUUGGUGAGCUGCGUUCUGAGAGACCCCCUGUACUCAGGUGGGAAUGUGGCCCCGGCCUUUCAGAGGCGCGGGGCCGUGAGAUGCGGGGUGGGGCUUGCGCCCUCCCUGGAAUCGGGGCUGGGAUCCCGACUGCGGCCUUUGGCCGUGCCGCCCCGCUGCCUGGCUGCUGAGAGUUGCUCCUGCCGCUGGGGGGGAAACCGAGCUCUGUGGCUCCAGGGGUGUUGUCCACCCGCCUGUAAUCAGGGUCUGGGUGCGCGAGCGUUUGUGCUCUGCUGGCAGCCUGUGUGGGGUGACCGCCCCGCUAGCGGGGUGUGGGUCGAGGUGCCCCGGACUGGGAGAGAAGGAGCCUCCCUCGGCCGUAGGGAUGGGGGCCGCCCUGUAAGUCAGGGAGCAUCUGUGUCCCGGAGUCCCAGGCCCUUUUCAAUGGCGGCAGUGGCCGGGGGUCCCCUGUAAGCAGGGAAGCUGACUCUUUGGCUGCUGCUUUUUGUGUGCCCAGCCCCAUUUGCCCGGUCUGCCCGCCUCUGUGAUCCCCCGCAGCACUGGCUGGAAGUCCGCCGCGUGUCAGUGAGGAGCUGCUGCAGAAGGAAGAAGAAGAAGCGGCGUGGGGAGCUGGGAGGCAGGAGCAAGCAAGAAGAGGAAGCGGAAGCGUGCAGAUGCGGGGGGGAAGGAGAGAGGCUCCCUGGGCAAAGCACCUGUCCCGUUAGCAGGGGCACAGUCACGUUUGAGUUGAGAGCUGCCGGCGCCUUUGGUGACCAGGCUGGCGUUGUGCUGGGCGACCUCCCCGUAAGCGGGGCUCGGGUCUUUGCUGUAGUUGGCCUUUUGCCUUGCUGCUCCUUUGGCUGCCUGGGGAGCGUGGCCCCCUGUAACGGAGGGCGAGAGCCACCUCUCCGCACCUGAGUGGGAAAUGGAGCUCGCCGGACCCCGAGGCCACCCUGUAAGCAGGGUAGUGCCGUUUCCCUGCCCCUCUUCCUCCCCCGGCCCCUCGGCAUCGUUGCCUGAUGGUGGCUUGUCAACGCGACGGCCCCGUACUCGGGGUGUGUGUCCCAAGCUUCGGAGCCCUCUGUCCCUGAGCAGCCCGCCCGCCCUGUAAUCAGGUGUGGGGAGGCUGCAGCGUUGCAGCCGGCUGCUUUAGCCGUCCAGCUGGUGGGAGUGACCCCUCCCUGUCCCGUCAGAGGGUGCAGGUUGAGGUGCUGUUUGUGUGUGGGGUGACCUCCCCGCUCGGUGGGUCGAGGUAGCUCCCUGGGCUUCCAAAGACGAGACGUUGGUGAUGUUCUG
This 1337-nucleotide long non-coding RNA is filed under the name Gallus gallus (chicken). The record is from RNAcentral. Lineage: Eukaryota; Metazoa; Chordata; Aves; Galliformes; Phasianidae.